GGCGAGUGGCGACGGGUGAGUAAUAUAUCGGAACGUACCCUAGAGUGGGGGAUAACGUAGCGAAAGUUACGCUAAUACCGCAUACGAUCUAAGGAUGAAAGUGGGGGAUCGCAAGACCUCAUGCUCGUGGAGCGGCCGAUAUCUGAUUAGCUAGUUGGUAGGGUAAAAGCCUACCAAGGCAUCGAUCAGUAGCUGGUCUGAGAGGACGACCAGCCACACUGGAACUGAGACACGGUCCAGACUCCUACGGGAGGCAGCAGUGGGGAAUUUUGGACAAUGGGCGAAAGCCUGAUCCAGCAAUGCCGCGUGAGUGAAGAAGGCCUUCGGGUUGUAAAGCUCUUUUGUCAGGGAAGAAACGGUGAGAGCUAAUAUCUCUUGCUAAUGACGGUACCUGAAGAAUAAGCACCGGCUAACUACGUGCCAGCAGCCGCGGUAAUACGUAGGGUGCAAGCGUUAAUCGGAAUUACUGGGCGUAAAGCGUGCGCAGGCGGUUUUGUAAGUCUGAUGUGAAAUCCCCGGGCUCAACCUGGGAAUUGCAUUGGAGACUGCAAGGCUAGAAUCUGGCAGAGGGGGGUAGAAUUCCACGUGUAGCAGUGAAAUGCGUAGAUAUGUGGAGGAACACCGAUGGCGAAGGCAGCCCCCUGGGUCAAGAUUGACGCUCAUGCACGAAAGCGUGGGGAGCAAACAGGAUUAGAUACCCUGGUAGUCCACGCCCUAAACGAUGUCUACUAGUUGUCGGGUCUUAAUUGACUUGGUAACGCAGCUAACGCGUGAAGUAGACCGCCUGGGGAGUACGGUCGCAAGAUUAAAACUCAAAGGAAUUGACGGGGACCCGCACAAGCGGUGGAUGAUGUGGAUUAAUUCGAUGCAACGCGAAAAACCUUACCUACCCUUGACAUGGCUGGAAUCCUUGAGAGAUCAGGGAGUGCUCGAAAGAGAACCAGUACACAGGUGCUGCAUGGCUGUCGUCAGCUCGUGUCGUGAGAUGUUGGGUUAAGUCCCGCAACGAGCGCAACCCUUGUCAUUAGUUGCUACGAAAGGGCACUCUAAUGAGACUGCCGGUGACAAACCGGAGGAAGGUGGGGAUGACGUCAAGUCCUCAUGGCCCUUAUGGGUAGGGCUUCACACGUCAUACAAUGGUACAUACAGAGCGCCGCCAACCCGCGAGGGGGAGCUAAUCGCAGAAAGUGUAUCGUAGUCCGGAUUGUAGUCUGCAACUCGACUGCAUGAAGUUGGAAUCGCUAGUAAUCGC
This 1252-nucleotide ribosomal RNA is filed under the name Janthinobacterium lividum. RNAcentral describes it as "bacterial SSU rRNA". It matches the Rfam family "Bacterial small subunit ribosomal RNA", at positions 90 to 1345 of the family's 1533-position model. The record is from RNAcentral. Lineage: Bacteria; Pseudomonadati; Pseudomonadota; Betaproteobacteria; Burkholderiales; Oxalobacteraceae.